AUUGAACGCUGGCGGAAUGCUUUACACAUGCAAGUCGAACGGUAGAGGGGGCAACCCCUCGAGAGUGGCGAACGGGUGAGUAAUAUAUCGGAACGUGCCCAGUCGUGGGGGAUAACGUAGCGAAAGUUACGCUAAUACCGCAUACGAUCUACGGAGGAAAGCGGGGGACCUUAGGGCCUCGCGCUGAUAGAGCGGCCGAUGUCGGAUUAGCUAGUUGGUGAGGUAAAGGCUCACCAAGGCGACGAUCCGUAGCGGGUCUGAGAGGAUGAUCCGCCACACUGGGACUGAGACACGGCCCAGACUCCUACGGGAGGCAGCAGUGGGGAAUUUUGGACAAUGGGCGAAAGCCUGAUCCAGCCAUGCCGCGUGAGUGAAGAAGGCCUUCGGGUUGUAAAGCUCUUUUGUCCGGGAGGAAAUCCUGACCCCUAAUACGGGUCGGGGAUGACAGUACUGGAAGAAUAAGCACCGGCUAACUACGUG
This 480-nucleotide ribosomal RNA is filed under the name uncultured bacterium. Its description in RNAcentral is "bacterial SSU rRNA". It matches the Rfam family "Bacterial small subunit ribosomal RNA", at positions 30 to 507 of the family's 1533-position model. The record is from RNAcentral.